Molecule: long non-coding RNA, 291 nt
Organism: Magnolia sinica
Lineage: Eukaryota; Viridiplantae; Streptophyta; Magnoliopsida; Magnoliales; Magnoliaceae
Exons: 4
Source: RefSeq, a predicted model, not a curated record
GGUUUUGGUUUAGGUUAAUGUUAUAGGUAUAGGUUAAGGUUAUUGGUUAAGGUUAAGGUUUAGGUUACAGGUUAAGGUUUUAGGUUUUGGUUUAGGUUAAGGUUUAGGUCAUAGGUUUUGUUUUAGGUUAAGGUUAUAGGUGUUGGUUAAGGUUUUAGGUCAUAGGUUUUGGUUUAGGUUAAGGUUAUAGGUUUAGGUUAAGGUUUAGGUUUAGGUUUAGGUUUAGGUUAAGGUUUACGUUUAGGUUAUAAGCUAUAGGUUUAGGGAAUUGAGAAUAGGUUAAGGUUUAGG